RNAcentral lists this ribosomal RNA (744 nucleotides) under uncultured bacterium. Its description in RNAcentral is "bacterial SSU rRNA". It matches the Rfam family "Bacterial small subunit ribosomal RNA", at positions 667 to 1411 of the family's 1533-position model. The record is from RNAcentral.
UNCCAUGUGUAGCGGUGAAAUGNGUAGAUAUAUGGAGGAACACCGGUGGCGAAAGCGGCUCUCUGGUCUGUAACUGACGCUGAGGCUCGAAAGCGUGGGGAGCGAACAGGAUUAGAUACCCUGGUAGUCCACGCCGUAAACGAUGAGUGCUAGGUGUUAGGCCCUUUCCGGGGCUUAGUGCCGCAGCUAACGCAUUAAGCACUCCGCCUGGGGAGUACGACCGCAAGGUUGAAACUCAAAGGAAUUGACGGGGGCCCGCACAAGCGGUGGAGCAUGUGGUUUAAUUCGAAGCAACGCGAAGAACCUUACCAGGUCUUGACAUCCCGAUGCCCGCUCUAGAGAUAGAGUUUUACUUCGGUACAUCGGUGACAGGUGGUGCAUGGUUGUCGUCAGCUCGUGUCGUGAGAUGUUGGGUUAAGUCCCGCAACGAGCGCAACCCUUAUUGUUAGUUGCCAUCAUUCAGUUGGGCACUCUAGCGAGACUGCCGGUAAUAAACCGGAGGAAGGUGGGGAUGACGUCAAAUCAUCAUGCCCCUUAUGACCUGGGCUACACACGUGCUACAAUGGCUGGUACAACGAGUCGCAAGUCGGUGACGGCAAGCUAAUCUCUUAAAGCCAGUCUCAGUUCGGAUUGUAGGCUGCAACUCGCCUACAUGAAGUCGGAAUCGCUAGUAAUCGCGGAUCAGCACGCCGCGGUGAAUACGUUCCCGGGCCUUGUACACACCGCCCGUCACACCACGAGAGU